Sebastes umbrosus (honeycomb rockfish) is the source of this 921-nucleotide long non-coding RNA. RefSeq lists it as uncharacterized. Lineage: Eukaryota; Metazoa; Chordata; Actinopteri; Perciformes; Sebastidae. The record is from RefSeq and is a predicted model, not a curated record. The transcript has 7 exons.
GUCACCGUACGCGGCUCCAUGACGCGGUCACGUCACGUCACGUCACGUGUACGCCGCACGUUUAGCGUUUUGAUUGACGCACAGACGAAUAGAGGAAACAACUUCAGAAACUGAGCUGAAAAUGCUAAAACGCGUUUGUGUUUUUCCAGCUAAUUAUGCAAGAAUUCACUCCUAGUGUUUAUAGACUAGAAAGAGAAGAGCAGCGAGAGGAUUUCUUUGGUGGGACACCUGGAACACAGCUGCUUUUCCCUCAACGGCCACAAGGGGCAACAAUGAGCCCAUCCCACAUUUGAAUACAAACCACGACAAGCAACACAAAGACUCUCUUCCAGGGAAAAUUCCCCUUUUCUCCGUUUCCCAUCGGCUGGCUGGUAACUCAAAAAGACGCACUUUAUUACACGUUGGAGGUUCCAGGCAGCAGUAGACAGCAUGAAGGAGACAACGUGGCUUCAGCCUAAGAUGUGUUGCUCUUCAUCCUGAUCAUGUUGCACUCCACGCAAACCACUACAGAUCACGGGUCAGAUGCAGAUGACCCCGAAUCCCAGUCUGACACCUACACGACGAGUCUUCUGGGUCCAAGCGUCCAGGUGUCAGCGCGGGUCCGGAGCUCAGCACUCGUCUUCUGCUUCUCUGAUGGGUGGAAUCAAGCUGCUCGUGGAUUUAUACUGACUGACUUGGUUGAUGGCGAGCGUAUUCACAGGCUUGAUCUGUAUGGUCCUCAGGCCCUUCCUUCACAUUUUAACCAAGAUGGCAUCAUCUCAAACUGGAAAAGUUUUAAUUACUUGGAGUAGGCCCUGUGUGUGCAGAUAAGAACACUACAGUGAAAUCAGCACUGACUUUUUAAAUGGUGAAAAAAAACUUAACUAGGUGAGCCUAAAUAACUCAAAUGAUCCUUUAAACUAUAUUCAAUAAAGCUUAGAU